CCUUGUACACACCGCCCGUCACACCACGAAAGUCGGCAACACCCGAAGUCAGUGGCCCAACCUCUUUGAGGAGGGAGCUGCCGAAGGUGGGGUCGGCGAUUGGGGUG
RNAcentral lists this ribosomal RNA (107 nucleotides) under uncultured bacterium. RNAcentral describes it as "partial 16S ribosomal RNA". It matches the Rfam family "Bacterial small subunit ribosomal RNA", at positions 1379 to 1482 of the family's 1533-position model. The record is from RNAcentral.